Long non-coding RNA from Malaclemys terrapin pileata, 1094 nucleotides. RefSeq lists it as uncharacterized. The transcript is spliced from 4 exons. The record is from RefSeq and is a predicted model, not a curated record. Lineage: Eukaryota; Metazoa; Chordata; Testudines; Emydidae.
GCUUCAGCAUCCCGCUCUCCAGGGCAAAUCCUCCGGGAGCAAGGCGCAGCCAUGUAUCUCCAUUUGACUGGAUGACAGUGGGUGCAGGUGGGGGUACAGCGCUGACCUCGACUAGCUACCUGGAGACAUAUCCGUCUAUCACCGCACCCACCUAUCCAUCCAACCUCAGACAUAUCCGUCACCAUACCCACCCCCCACCUAUACAUCCAACCUCAGACACAUCCGUCUUCUCACCAUACUCAUCCCCCACCUAUCCAUCCAUCCUGUGGUUUGGGCUGGACUCUGGAUUGCCCUGAAAGGGGAGAGAGCCGAGAGCAACCUGGCCGGAGGAGCAGGUCACAGCCGCCAAGGGGACCCCAGUGGUUUGGCUGGUUGAUGAGCAGGCCUGAAGUGCGGCGAAGCCCUGCAAUGCUGUGCCUGACUGUGCGGGGGUACCCACAUGGAUCUAUGAAUCUAUGAAUCCAGUGCUGGAGCUGUCUGUGCAUUGCAGUAUCAACUGGAAAGUUCCCUCCAGAAUACCGGUGUCAAGCAGUAAGCACAUGGCCUCAGUCCAGUUGACUUCAAAGUGAAGGGCAGCUGCAAAUUUUUCAAGCCUCCCUCCUCCGUCCCGAAGGCUAUCUCAGAUAAGGCGGCGUAGAAAGAGGACGCGAGAUGACAUGUUCACGGAAAUAAUGGAAUCCACCCGCAAUUAAAGAGCUCAUUUGAAUGAGUGGAAAGACACAGUAUCUAAAUGUAGGAAAGAUGCCAGUGAACAUGAGGUCAUGAGGGAUGCUCGAGAUGAGAGGUGGCAGGCUGCAAUGCUGGGGCUUCUGCAUGAUCAAACGGACAUGCUUCGGCGUCUGGUGGAGGUUCAGGAACGGCAGCAGGAUAACAAACUGCCACUGCAGCCGCUGUAGAACCUCCCUCCCCCCAUCACCAUGUUCCAUAGCCUCCUCACCCAGACGUGUAAGAACGCGGGGCGGGGGGGGAAGUACCGUGCACCCUCCCACUCCACCCCAGUAGACAACCCAACCAAAAGGCUGUCAUUAUAUUGAAUUUGUUCGGUGGCCUUUUACUUCUCUCCUAUCCUCCUCCCAAACCUCACCCAGAUUACC